AUGUACAAGUUUUUGUGUGGACAUGGUAAAGAAUCUGCCUGCAGGGGUUUGGAUCCCGAGUCUGCGGUGCGGUCCCGAGCGGUGGCGGUCGGCGUCCAAGUGGUUUAUUGUGGCGCUUGAGGCUACAAGCCCAAGUAUCUUCAGCUCAAGAAGUUAGAAGAUGAGUUCCCUAGCCGUCUGGACAUCUGCGGCGAGGGGACUCCCCAGGUCACUGGCUUCUUUGAAGUGUUCAUAGCAGGAAAGCUGGUUCACUCCAAGAAGGGAGGCGAUGGCUAUGUGGACACAGAGAGCAAGUUUCUGAAGCUGGUGGCCGCCAUCAAAGCUGCUUUGGCUCAGGCCUGAUGUGCCCUGAAGGCAAAGACCAGUAACUGUGGCCCAGCCCCUCCCAACUUUUAGGCUCCAUUAA
This is an RNA transcript of Cervus elaphus (red deer), 406 nucleotides long. It is a transcript of the gene named selenoprotein W-like, with no coding region annotated. The record is from RefSeq and is a predicted model, not a curated record. NCBI's taxonomy places the organism in Eukaryota, Metazoa, Chordata, Mammalia, Artiodactyla, Cervidae. The transcript has 2 exons.